GUUUAGUAGUGUUGAGGUCAAAGCUCUAUAGGCGGCCACUGAAGAUUUUUUGCACCAACCUGAGUACACUAGGAAUGUGCAUCUUAAUGCCUAGCUAACAAUACGGCAUGCUGUUGCACGUCUUCCUGCUGAGCUGAUCCGUCUAUCCGUCUCCUCACCUGUAGCCGUCUUGAUGAAAUGUAGCCCUGCUAGUGUCGGUUCCAGCUGUCAUGAACGCAGCAGUGAUUUCGGAAAGGAAGAUGCACCUCUGCCUCUGCCAUGUUAAUCUAUAUUCUAUGUGACACCCAGGACACGCCUCGGUCUCCGUAGAGUUGAUACGCCAUGUUCACCUAGCAGCAGUGGUGCUGA
Silurus meridionalis is the source of this 348-nucleotide long non-coding RNA. RefSeq lists it as uncharacterized. The record is from RefSeq and is a predicted model, not a curated record. Lineage: Eukaryota; Metazoa; Chordata; Actinopteri; Siluriformes; Siluridae. The transcript is spliced from 3 exons.